RNAcentral lists this ribosomal RNA (254 nucleotides) under uncultured prokaryote. Its description in RNAcentral is "partial 16S ribosomal RNA". It matches the Rfam family "Bacterial small subunit ribosomal RNA", at positions 524 to 776 of the family's 1533-position model. The record is from RNAcentral.
UACGGAGGAUCCAAGCGUUAUCCGGAAUUACUGGGCGUAAAGAGUUGCGUAGGCGGCAUAGUAAGUAGAUAGUAAAAGCCUGGGGCUCAACCCCUUAAAUAUUGUCUAAACUGCUAAGCUAGAAUAUAGAAGAGGUAGCUGGAAUUCCUUGUGUAGGAGUGAAAUCCGUAGAUAUAAGGAGGAACACCGAUGGCGUAGGCAGGCUACUGGUCUAUUAUUGACGCUAAGGCACGAAAGCGUGGGGAGCAAACGGG